GCCUGGUUAGCUCAGUGGUUGAGCAUCUGCCUUUGGCUCAGGGUGUGAUCCCAGGGGUCCUGGGAUGGAGUCCCACAUCGGGCU
This 84-nucleotide transfer RNA is filed under the name Canis lupus familiaris (dog). It matches the Rfam family "tRNA". Rfam says of the family: Transfer RNA (tRNA) molecules are approximately 80 nucleotides in length. Their secondary structure includes four short double-helical elements and three loops (D, anti-codon, and T loops). Lineage: Eukaryota; Metazoa; Chordata; Mammalia; Carnivora; Canidae. RNAcentral also lists the same sequence under 1 other name. The record is from Rfam by way of RNAcentral.